Molecule: long non-coding RNA, 805 nt
Organism: Felis catus (domestic cat)
Lineage: Eukaryota; Metazoa; Chordata; Mammalia; Carnivora; Felidae
Exons: 5
Source: RefSeq, a predicted model, not a curated record
UUGAUAAGAGAAGUUGAGUGUCUCUGUUUACUUCUUUAGAAAACCUGCAGCAAAGCUCCUGGAAGCAGACGGCAGGAUGAUCUGCACGUGGUGUGAAGGCAGAUGCAGCACAGGAACCCCCUCUCCCAAGUGGGUGGGAAAGAUGCUGGUCCUUGUCUCACGGAGUCAAAGAAUGCAUCUCGUGGUCGAAAAAGAGUGUUAAACUUUUCCAAGGGCCAGGAGUCAUACCAGAGAAAGAGCCAACGCAGUUGAUUACCAUUAUUACUUUGCAAAUUUUUAGGGGAAAGAUUUCUUCUCCCUGGCAAUCCUGGAUAAGGAGGACAUGAGGGUUUAACAGGUGGCCUUUCCUGAGGAGAGACCUCAGGAGACAAGUCUAACUGUAAGAUAGUACUGUACUGAAUACUUCCCUCAAGAGGCCAGGAUUCUCCAUCCUCCAGAAGAUACUGAGGCCAAGCCUGGGAGAAAAAAAAAAAAAAACUUCAUGCACUUAUUUUUGACCAUUUGUGUAUCAAAUCGUUUCCAAUUUCUCAGAACAUGUUCCAGAGGAGUACCCACAGAGAAUGGUUCGUUUCCCAUCUUGUGAUGCAGGAGCGUGGGAGAAACACUGGUCCUUGUGUCAUGGAGUUGAAGAAUGAAUCUCGAAGACAACAGAGAGUGAGCAAAGCAACAGAGUUUAUUGAAUGAAAGCAUAAAACUCUCAAGAGUGAGAGGGGUCUCAACUGCGUAGCCACUUAGGUUUCUGCCUCUGACUUUUUAUUGGGACGUUAUCAGAAAGUUUUUGAGACUCCGUGCAUGGCACCUAGAC